GGUAUAUGCCUACCUUGCAAGGUCCUCAUGCCCGUCAGACAGUUUUCACUUGACCUCGACCUCAUUUCAUGGAUCAGUGAACAAGGUUAAGUUUUGGUGGUCAAGUCCAUAUCUCAGAUACUAUAAGCAAUAGGUCAAGUAUAUUCGGUGUAUGGAAGGACUGUAAGGUGUACAUGUCCAACUGGCAGGUGUCAUCUGACCUUGACCUCAUUUUCAUGGUUCAGUGGUUAUAGUUAAGUUUUUGUGUUUUGGUCUGUUUUUCUUAUACUGUAUGCAAUAGGUCUACUAUAUUUGGUGUAUGGAAUGAUUGUAAGGUGUACAUGUCUAGCUGACAGGUGUCAUUUGACCUUGACCUCAUUUUCAUGGUUCAGUGGUCAAAGUUAAGAUUUUGAGUUUUGGUCUUUUUUUCUAAUACUAUAUGCAAUAGGUCAACUAUAUUUGUUGUAUGGAAGAAUUGUUAGCUGUACAUGCCUGCCUGGCAUGGUUCAUCUGACCUUGACCUCAUUUUCAUGGUUCGUUGGUCAAUGUUUAGUUUUCUUGGUUAAUGUUAAGUUUAUGUGACAGUUGUAAUAAAGCUUUAUAUUUAGGACUAUCAACAUAAUAUCAAUGAUUAGUAAAGAAGGCGAGACAUUUAA
Molecule: long non-coding RNA, 635 nt
Organism: Mytilus californianus (California mussel)
Lineage: Eukaryota; Metazoa; Mollusca; Bivalvia; Mytilida; Mytilidae
Exons: 2
Source: RefSeq, a predicted model, not a curated record